GAUUAGUGGCGAACGGGUGAGUAACACGUGGGCAAUCUGCCCUUCACUCUGGGACAAGCCCUGGAAACGGGGUCUAAUACCGGAUAAUACUCCUGCCUGCAUGGGUGGGGGUUAAAAGCUCCGGCGGUGAAGGAUGAGCCCGCGGCCUAUCAGCUUGUUGGUGGGGUAAUGGCCCACCAAGGCGACGACGGGUAGCCGGCCUGAGAGGGCGACCGGCCACACUGGGACUGAGACACGGCCCAGACUCCUACGGGAGGCAGCAGUGGGGAAUAUUGCACAAUGGGCGAAAGCCUGAUGCAGCGACGCCGCGUGAGGGAUGACGGCCUUCGGGUUGUAAACCUCUUUCAGCAGGGAAGAAGCGAAAGUGACGGUACCUGCAGAAGAAGCGCCGGCUAACUACGUGCCAGCAGCCGCGGUAAUACGUAGGGCGCAAGCGUUGUCCGGAAUUAUUGGGCGUAAAGAGCUCGUAGGCGGCUUGUCACGUCGGAUGUGAAAGCCCGAGGCUUAACCUCGGGUCUGCAUUCGAUACGGGCUAGCUAGAGUGUGGUAGGGGAGAUCGGAAUUCCUGGUGUAGCGGUGAAAUGCGCAGAUAUCAGGAGGAACACCGGUGGCGAAGGCGGAUCUCUGGGCCAUUACUGACGCUGAGGAGCGAAAGCGUG
RNAcentral lists this ribosomal RNA (659 nucleotides) under Streptomyces sp. RNAcentral's name for it is "bacterial SSU rRNA". It matches the Rfam family "Bacterial small subunit ribosomal RNA", at positions 90 to 763 of the family's 1533-position model. Lineage: Bacteria; Bacillati; Actinomycetota; Actinomycetes; Kitasatosporales; Streptomycetaceae. The record is from RNAcentral.